GAAAAGGUAAAAAUAAAACAUAUCUAUCAGUUGAACAAUCCCUAAUAUCUCGCUUUGUUGUCUCUUUCUCUUCAGCUCAUUUGCGCUUCUCUUUCUACUCCGAUCCGAUCUUGCAAAGAUGAUGAUAAGACCAGAAAUUGGUAACGAAAAUCGCUUCUUCGCGUGUGAAAAUUUGAUUUGCAACUUAUAGUAGUGAAGAAUUCGUCAUUUUUGGCUUCAAUUGACCCCAGGUAAUUCUUUUUCCUCUGCUUUGCAUAUUUAUCUUCGAUCUGUACCUCAUAAGCUGAUUGUUUUUGUACUGCUACCUUGCAUGGACUGAACCUGCCUGUGUGGAGCUUCAUUUUACUCCGUUUUCAGCACUGAUAGCUUAGUUGAUCUUGGUCCUCUGAAUCGCUGAUUUGAGAUGGUUUUCGUCUUCAACCAUGGAACUGGCUGGCUUGAGUGUUGCCGCUGCAAUUGCAUAGGUCAAUAAUUGUUUUUCUGCAAUUUUUUUUAUACUUUAUCUCACCACCUCUUUUAUUUCUAUUUAUGACAAUUUGACACGGUUGAAGAUGCAUUCUGGAGGAGGGUAAAAAAAGAAGAUAGCAUUCUGAUCCAUAAAACUUGAAGUUUGUUUAAGUUGUAUUGAAUUGAGUAUUUUGGUUACAUUAGAUCUUGAUGUAAGGUAACAAUGCAAUUAUAUAACAUCUGCCUAAUUGGCGUGUCACAAAUUUAAAUUUUUAUUUAUUUGUUUUUCCCAUGCAUAUAGCGGGAGCUUAGUGCA
Molecule: long non-coding RNA, 763 nt
Organism: Lycium barbarum (goji berry)
Lineage: Eukaryota; Viridiplantae; Streptophyta; Magnoliopsida; Solanales; Solanaceae
Exons: 2
Source: RefSeq, a predicted model, not a curated record